CACAGAUCAGGCAACGAUCGGCAAGUCUUUCCUUCAAAUCAACAACUAGCUAAGAUGACGAGUACCAAAAUGUUGCUCGUGGUCGCCUUCCUCAUGCUAUCAUCAGAUGUGGUAAUGGAGGUGUCGGCGGGCAUUAGCAGUCAUCCCAUCUCCUGUAUGUCAAGCAUUACUCACCCAUCACCAAAGCCAUGUGAUAACCAAAUUUGUCGUGAGACAUGCGUCAAACGUAUAGGGUACGGCACAGAAGGCGAGUGUGUUGCAAAGGGGUGCCAGUGUACGUUCUGCACAAAAUGGCCUCCCCGACAAUCAACAAAUGAGCAUUGAUUUAGACAGGAUGCAUAGGAUGUCAUUUUGAAUUGAAUAAUGCAGCAAAAUCAUUAAUAAUGUAGAGCACCGUUGUUCACUGAUAAGUCAUAUGAAGAAUGAUGAAUUUGGACUUGCUUC
This is a long non-coding RNA of Hordeum vulgare subsp. vulgare (domesticated barley), 444 nucleotides long. RefSeq lists it as uncharacterized. The transcript has 2 exons. The record is from RefSeq and is a predicted model, not a curated record. NCBI's taxonomy places the organism in Eukaryota, Viridiplantae, Streptophyta, Magnoliopsida, Poales, Poaceae.